This 73-nucleotide transfer RNA is filed under the name Fibroporia radiculosa. RNAcentral describes it as "tRNA-Arg (CCG) (tRNA-Arg-CCG-1-1)". It matches the Rfam family "tRNA". Rfam says of the family: Transfer RNA (tRNA) molecules are approximately 80 nucleotides in length. Their secondary structure includes four short double-helical elements and three loops (D, anti-codon, and T loops). Further hydrogen bonds mediate the characteristic L-shaped molecular structure. tRNAs have two regions of fundamental functional importance: the anti-codon, which is responsible for specific mRNA codon recognition, and the 3' end, to which the tRNAs corresponding amino acid is attached (by aminoacyl-tRNA synthetases). tRNAs cope with the degeneracy of the genetic code in two manners: having more than one tRNA (with a specific anti-codon) for a particular amino acid; and 'wobble' base-pairing, i.e. permitting non-standard base-pairing at the 3rd anti-codon position. Lineage: Eukaryota; Fungi; Basidiomycota; Agaricomycetes; Polyporales; Fibroporiaceae. The record is from RNAcentral.
GGCCGGCUGGCCUAAUGGUUAAGGCGUCAGUUUCCGGAGCUGAAGAUUCGGGGUUCGAAUCCCCGGUUGGUCG